RNAcentral lists this ribosomal RNA (254 nucleotides) under uncultured bacterium. RNAcentral describes it as "partial 16S ribosomal RNA". It matches the Rfam family "Bacterial small subunit ribosomal RNA", at positions 524 to 776 of the family's 1533-position model. The record is from RNAcentral.
UACAGAGGUCUCAAGCGUUGUUCGGAUUCAUUGGGCGUAAAGGGCGCGUAGGCUGCGGGGCAAGUCGGGUGUGAAAUCUCAGAGCUCAACUCUGAAACUGCACUCGAUACUGCUUUGCUCGAGGACUGGAGAGGAGAUUGGAAUUCACGGUGUAGCAGUGAAAUGCGUAGAUAUCGUGAGGAAGACCAGUGGCGAAGGCGGCAUCCUGGGCCAACACUGGCGCUGAGUGAGCGAAAGCCAGGGGAGCAAACGGG